This 467-nucleotide ribosomal RNA is filed under the name uncultured bacterium. RNAcentral describes it as "bacterial SSU rRNA". It matches the Rfam family "Bacterial small subunit ribosomal RNA", at positions 329 to 793 of the family's 1533-position model. The record is from RNAcentral.
AUCCAGACUCCUACGGGAGGCAGCAGUGAGGAAUAUUGGUCAAUGGCCGGAAGGCUGAACCAGCCAAGCCGCGUGAGGGAGGAAGGCGCAGAGCGUCGCAGACCUCUUUUGCCGGGGGACAAAAGGCCGGACUCGUCCGGUCCUGAGGGUACCCGGAGAAAAAGCAUCGGCUAACUACGUGCCAGCAGCCGCGGUAAUACGUAGGGAGCAAGCGUUGUCCGGAAUUACUGGGCGUAAAGGGCGCGUAGGUGGGCGCUUAAGUCAGGUGUGAAAACUCCGGGCUCAACCUGGAGACUGCACUUGAAACUGGGUGUCUUGAGGGCAGGAGAGGAAAGUGGAAUUCCUAGUGUAGCGGUGAAAUGCGUAGAUAUUAGGAGGAAUACCAGUGGCGAAGGCGACUUUCUGGACUGUACCUGACGCUGAGGCGCGAAAGCGUGGGUAGCGAACGGGAUUAGAUACCCCUGUAU